This 253-nucleotide ribosomal RNA is filed under the name uncultured bacterium. RNAcentral's name for it is "partial 16S ribosomal RNA". It matches the Rfam family "Bacterial small subunit ribosomal RNA", at positions 524 to 776 of the family's 1533-position model. The record is from RNAcentral.
GACGGAGGGGGCUAGCGUUGUUCGGAAUCAUUGGGCGUAAAGGGCGCGUAGGCGGCCGAUCAAGUCGGAGGUGAAAUCCCUCGGCUCAACUGAGGAACUGCCUUCGAUACUGUUCGGCUUGAGUCCUGGAGAGGGUAGCGGAAUUCCCGGUGUAGCGGUGAAAUGCGUAGAGACCGGGAAGAACACCAGUGGCGAAGGCGGCUUCCUGGACAGGUACUGACGCUGAAGCGCGAAAGCUAGGGGAGCAAACAGG